GUUGAACUUGAGUUUGUGGCGUUUGUUGAACUUGACCUUGUGGCGUUUGUUGAACUUGAGUUUGUGAAGUGUUUGAACUUGAGUUUGUGAAGUGUUUGAACUUGAGUUUGUGAAGUGUUUGAACUUGAGUUUGUGUUUUUUUUAACUUGAGGUUGUGGCAAUUGUUAAACUUGAGAAUCGGGUGUUGGUUGAACUUGAGUUUGUGGUGUUCAUUGAACUUGAGUUUGUGGAAUAUUUGAACUUGAGUUUUUUAUGUUUUUUGAACUUGAGGUUCUGGUGUUUUUGAACUUGAGUUUGUGUGUUUUUUGAAUUUGAGGUUGUGGAAAUUGUUAAACCUGAGAAUCGGGUGUUGGUUGAACUUGAAACUGUGACAUUUGUUGAACUUGAGUUUGUGGUGUUUGUUGAACUUGAGUUUGUAUCGUGUUUGAAAUUGAGUUUGUGGUGUUUUUGAACUUGAGUUUGUGUGUUUUUUGAAUUUGAGUUUGUGGUGUUUUUGAACUUCAUUUUGUGGCACUUUUUUAACUUGAGUUUGUUGACCUUUAGUUUUUGGCAAUUGUUAAGUGUGAGUUUAGGUCAUUUGUUGAACUUGAAAUUUUGGAAUUUGUUGAACUUAAGAUUGUGGUGUUUGUUGAACUUGAGUUUGUGGCAAUUGUUGAACUUGAGUCUGUAUUUUCUCUGAACUUUAGUUGGUGGCAAUUGUUGAACUUGAGUUUGUGGUGUUUUUGCACUUGAGUUUGUGUCGAGUUUGAACCUGAGUUUGUGUUGUAUUUGAACUUGAGGUUGUGGAAAUUGUUAAACGUGAGAAUUGGGUAUUGGUUUAUCUUGAGUUUGUGUGUUUGUUGAACCUGAGUUUGUGUCUUGUUUGAACUUGAGAUUGUGCUGUUUUGUGAUCUUGAAUUUGUGUGGGGUUUUUUUAACUUGAGUUUUUGGUGUUUUUGAAUUUGAGUUUCUGUUGUUUUUGAACAUGAGGUUGUGGCAAUUGUUAAACUUGAGAUUUGGGUGUUGGUUGAAAUUAAGUUUCGGCAUUUUUGAACUUGAGUUUGUGGUGUUUUUGAACUUGAAUUUGUGUAUUUUUUGAACCUGAGUUUGUUGCAAUUUUUGAACUUGAGUUUGUUGAACUUGAGUUUUUGGCAAUUGUUUAAUGUGAAUAUAGGUCAUUUGUUGAAUUUGAAAGUUUGUCAUUUUUUGAACUUAAGCUUGUGGUGUUUGAUGAACUUGAGUUUGUGGCAAUUGUUAACCUUGAGUCUGUAUUUUUCUCUGAACUUUACUUGGUGGCAAUUGUUGAACUUGAGUUUGUGGCGUUUGUUGUACUUGAGUUUGUGGCGUGUUUGAACUUGAGUUUCUGUUGGUUUUGAACUUGAGGUUGUGGAAAUUGUUAAACUUGAGAUUUGGGAUUUGGUUGAACUUGAGUUUGUGAAUCGUGUUUGAACUUGAGUUUGUGGUGUUUUUGAUCUUGAGCUUUUGUGUUUUUUGAACUGAAGUUUGUGGCAAUUGUUAAACUUGUGACUUAGGUGUUGGUUGAACUUGAGUCUGUGUUGUUUCUAACUUGAGUUUGUGGUGUGUCUGAACUUGAGUUUUUGUUUUUUUUUAACUUGAGGUUGUGGAAAUUGUUAAACUUGCGAAGUGGGCAUUGGUUGAACUUGAGUUCGUGUGUUUGUUGAACUUGAGUUUUUGUCAUUAAGAACUUGAGUUUGUGGUGUUUUUGAACUUGAGGUUUUGGCAGAUGUUAAACUUGAUAUUUGGGUGUUGUUUGAACUUGAGUUUGUGUCGUGUUUGAACUUGAGUUUGUGUCGUGUUUGAACUUGAGGUUGUGGAAAUUGUUAAACGUGAGAAUUGGGUAUUGGUUAAACUUGAGUUUGUGUGUUUGUUGAACCUGAGUUUGUGUCGUGUUUGAACUUGAGAUUGUGCUGUUUUGUGAUCUUUGAAUUUUCUAGGAUGAUGCAAUGUCCAGCCAUCAACACAUUUGUGAAGGAAUUUUUACUCCCCAAAAGAGCGCCCCCCCAUGGCAGGAGAAAAAAUUCAAUUUUUUCUUGUCCCCUAAGGUGAAAAUACACAUUGUUGAGUGUCACGCCUAUACGCUUUGUCAUAUUGACACAAAAUUUGACAAUCACGUGUAUCUCAAUAAGAUCUAUGAAAAAGUCAAUGGGCACGUGUCUGUAAAAUGUACGGUUAAAGGGCUAUUUCGCAUUUUUUGCCGAUUCGCACACAUUGGAAUGUGACUAACUCCUCCUAAGGCUUUCGUCCCACUGACACCAAAUUUGCUCAGGCCAAUCUACACCCCAUGGCCAUUCAAAGUUGUAAAAAUCAUGACGCUGCAUCCCACGGUUUACGUUCUAGGGGGCGCCAAAGAUGACCCAAAAAUCCACAUUCUUAAAAGUCGUUUUGGCCACUGAGUGGCGCCAAAGGGAGUUGUCUAUUAACAGCAGACAAAGUAGAUAUGGCCACUGAGGGGCGCCAAAGGGAGUUGUCUAUUAAAUCUGAUGCUACAGAAAAAGUUAAAAGGCUCACAUUUUUGCUAUAUUAGUGACUUUAUGUCUUAAAUGGGCUCUUAAAGGGUUACAAAAAAUUACUUUCAAUGAAACAUUUGCUAGUUUUGAACAGGGCAGAAGUAAAAUAAGAGAUGUACAAAAAAAAAUCUGGAAAAAAUAUUAAUCCAACCUUACCCUAGCCCCAUAACCUAAUACCCGGGUAUUACCUUCAGGAAGCCCGAACACCCCAAAUAUUUUUUUUUCAUUUAUCUUUUUUUUUUUUCUAACUAACUCCAAAAGGUUGGAAAAGACUUCCUACAAAGGUUUUGGACAGUGAUUUUAACCCUCACGCAAAAAACCUUAAACCUUAACCUAGCCCCAUAACCUAAUACCCGGAUAUUACCUUCAGGAAGCCCGAACACCCCAAAUAUUUUUUUUUCAUUUAUCUUUUUUUUUUUUGUCUAACUAACUCCGAAAGGUUGGAAAAGACUUCCUACAAAGGUUUUGGACAGUGAUUUAAACCCUCACGCCAAAAACCUUAAACCUUACCCUAGCCCCAUUACCUAAUACUUAAACCUGAAGGGUAUUACCUUCAGGAAGCCCGAACACCCCAAAUAUUUUUUUUUUCAUUUUACAUUUUUUUUUUGGUGUAACCAACUCCAAAAGGUCUUAAUCUUGUUCCUUAAAAGGUUUUGGACAGUGAUUUUAACCCUAACGCCAAAAACCUUAAACCUUACCCUAAGCCCCAAAACCUAAUACCUUCAGGAAGCCCGAAAACCCAAAG
Molecule: long non-coding RNA, 3252 nt
Filed under: Xyrichtys novacula (pearly razorfish)
Lineage: Eukaryota; Metazoa; Chordata; Actinopteri; Labriformes; Labridae
Source: RNAcentral